Molecule: ribosomal RNA, 361 nt
Filed under: uncultured Thermus sp.
Lineage: Bacteria; Thermotogati; Deinococcota; Deinococci; Thermales; Thermaceae
Description: bacterial SSU rRNA
Rfam family: Bacterial small subunit ribosomal RNA
Source: RNAcentral
GGGGGGAGCCCUAGCACAGGUGCUGCAUGGCCGUCGUCAGCUCGUGCCGUGAGGUGUUGGGUUAAGUCCCGCAACGAGCGCAACCCCGCCGUUAGUUGCCAGCGGUUCGGCCGGGCACUCUAACGGGACUGCCCGCGAAAGCGGGAGGAAGGAGGGGACGACGUCUGGUCAGCAUGGCCCUUACGGCCUGGGCGACACACGUGCUACAAUGCCCACUACAAAGCGAUGCCACCCGGCAACGGGAGCUAAUCGCAAAAAGGUGGGCCCAGUUCGGAUUGGGGUCUGCAACCCGACCCCAUGAAGCCGGAAUCGCUAGUAAUCGCGGAUCAGCCAUGCCGCGGUGAAUACGUUCCCGGGCCUU